AACCUUUACAAUGCACGAAAGUGUGAUAAGGGGAUUCUACGUGCAAGCUAUGCUUGCUUUUCUCAAGUUUAAACCACUUGGGGAAUAAGGGCUGGGCAAGACCCGUGCCAGCCGCCGCGGUAAUACGGGCAGCUCUAGUGGCGUUCGCGAAUAUUGGGCCUAAAGCGUACGUAGCCUGUUAAAUAAGUUCUUGGUGAAAGCUCGCGACUUAAUCGUGAGAAUGGCCAUGAAAACUGUUUGACUUGGGACCGGAAGAGGUCGGAGGUAUUUCUUGGGUAGGGGUAAAAUCCUGUAAUCCUUGAAGGACCAUCGGUGGCGAAGGCGUCCGACUGGGACGGGUCCGACGGUGAGGUACGAAAGCUAGGGGAGCGACCCGGAUUAGAUACCCGGUUAGUCCUAGCCGUAAAUGAUGUCUGUUUGGUAUUGCACUCCUUACGAGGGAUUGCAGUGCCGUAGGGAAGCCGUUAAACAGACCGCCUGGGGAGUACGCCGCAAGGC
RNAcentral lists this ribosomal RNA (498 nucleotides) under uncultured archaeon. RNAcentral describes it as "bacterial SSU rRNA". It matches the Rfam family "Archaeal small subunit ribosomal RNA", at positions 345 to 849 of the family's 1478-position model. The record is from RNAcentral.